GACGAACCGUGCGAACGUUGUUCGGAUUCACUGGGCUUAAAGGGCGCGUAGGCGGUCGACCAAGUCUGGGGUGAAAUCUUUCGGCUCAACCGGAAAAGUGCCCCCGAUACUGGCCGGCUAGAGGGAGAUAGGGGCAUGCGGAACUUCCGGUGGAGCGGUGAAAUGCGUAGAUAUCGGAAGGAACGCCGGUGGCGAAAGCGGCGUGCUGGAUCUCUUCUGACGCUGAGGCGCGAAAGCUAGGGUAGCGAACGGG
RNAcentral lists this ribosomal RNA (253 nucleotides) under uncultured bacterium. RNAcentral describes it as "partial 16S ribosomal RNA". It matches the Rfam family "Bacterial small subunit ribosomal RNA", at positions 524 to 776 of the family's 1533-position model. The record is from RNAcentral.